This 148-nucleotide long non-coding RNA is filed under the name Octopus sinensis (East Asian common octopus). RNAcentral's name for it is "uncharacterized LOC118764084, transcript variant X3". The record is from RNAcentral. Lineage: Eukaryota; Metazoa; Mollusca; Cephalopoda; Octopoda; Octopodidae.
UGUGUGUGUGUAUGUGUGUACGAAGACGGUUGUGUAAACAAGAAACAGAUGCAUUAGUUUAACGCUCGAGAAGUGAGAAAGUCUUUUACGUUUCGAGCCUACGCUCUUCGACAGAAAGAAACACAGAAAUAAACAGGGAGAGAAUAUA